GAGGGUAUAGCUUGAUGGUAGAGUGCAUGCUUAGCAUGCAUGAGGCCCUGGGUUCAAUCCCUAGUACCUCUG
This 72-nucleotide transfer RNA is filed under the name Camelus bactrianus (Bactrian camel). It matches the Rfam family "tRNA". Rfam says of the family: Transfer RNA (tRNA) molecules are approximately 80 nucleotides in length. Their secondary structure includes four short double-helical elements and three loops (D, anti-codon, and T loops). RNAcentral also lists the same sequence under 1 other name. The record is from Rfam by way of RNAcentral. Lineage: Eukaryota; Metazoa; Chordata; Mammalia; Artiodactyla; Camelidae.